GCGUGAGUGGCGUAAUAGGUAGACGCAGCGGACUUAAAAUUCGCUGGCCAUAAAGGCCGUACCGGUUCAAGUCCGGUCUUGCGCACCA
Molecule: transfer RNA, 88 nt
Filed under: Candidatus Buchananbacteria bacterium
Lineage: Bacteria; Candidatus Buchananiibacteriota
Description: tRNA-Leu
Rfam family: tRNA
About the family: Transfer RNA (tRNA) molecules are approximately 80 nucleotides in length. Their secondary structure includes four short double-helical elements and three loops (D, anti-codon, and T loops).
Source: RNAcentral